UCGGGGACAGUGGCGAACGGGUGAGUAACACAUGAGAAACCUGCCCCAAAGACCGGGAUAAGCCUUGGAAACGAGGUCUAAUACCGGAUACCUUCUUUUUAUCACAUGGUAAAAAGAAGAAAUGCUCCGGCGCUUUGGGAUGGUCUCGUGGUCUAUCAGCUUGUUGGUGAGGUAAAAGCUCACCAAGGCAUCGACGGAUAGCUGGUCUGAGAGGAUGUCCAGCCACAUUGGAACUGAGAUACGGUCCAAACUCC
This 254-nucleotide ribosomal RNA is filed under the name uncultured bacterium. Its description in RNAcentral is "partial 16S ribosomal RNA". It matches the Rfam family "Bacterial small subunit ribosomal RNA", at positions 86 to 339 of the family's 1533-position model. The record is from RNAcentral.